This 253-nucleotide ribosomal RNA is filed under the name uncultured bacterium. RNAcentral's name for it is "partial 16S ribosomal RNA". It matches the Rfam family "Bacterial small subunit ribosomal RNA", at positions 524 to 776 of the family's 1533-position model. The record is from RNAcentral.
UACGUAGGAGGCAAGCGUUGUCCGGAUUGACUGGGCGUAAAGCGCACGCAGGCGGCCGUGCACGUGGGGUGUGAAAGCUGGCGGCUUAACUGCCAGACGCCACCUCAUACGGCACGGCUCGAGCCCGUGAGAGGUCCACGGAAUUGCCGGUGUAGUGGUGAAAUGCGUAGAGAUCGGCAGGAACACCCAGGGGGAAACCAGUGGACUGGCACGGUGCUGACGCUCAGGUGCGAAAGCGUGGGGAGCGAACCGG